CGUAGGGCGCAAGCGUUGUCCGGAAUUAUUGGGCGUAAAGAGCUCGUAGGUGGCUUGUCGCGUCUGCCGUGAAAGCCCAUGGCUUAACUGUGGGUCUGCGGUGGAUACGGGCUGGCUAGAGGUAGGUAGGGGCAAGCGGAAUUCCUGGUGUAGCGGUGAAAUGCGCAGAUAUCAGGAGGAACACCGGUGGCGAAGGCGGCUUGCUGGGCCUUACCUGACGCUGAGGAGCGAAAGCGUGGGGAGCGAACAGGAUUAGAUACCCUGGUAGUCCACGCUGUAAACGUUGGGCGCUAGGUGUGGGGUCCUUCCACGGGUUCCGUGCCGUAGCUAACGCAUUAAGCGCCCCGCCUGGGGAGUACGGCCGCAAGGCUA
This 372-nucleotide ribosomal RNA is filed under the name uncultured organism. RNAcentral describes it as "bacterial SSU rRNA". It matches the Rfam family "Bacterial small subunit ribosomal RNA", at positions 526 to 896 of the family's 1533-position model. The record is from RNAcentral.